Molecule: non-coding RNA, 2441 nt
Organism: Leptonychotes weddellii (Weddell seal)
Lineage: Eukaryota; Metazoa; Chordata; Mammalia; Carnivora; Phocidae
Source: RefSeq, a predicted model, not a curated record
CUAAUUCAUAACGUUAGUAAAACCUUGACUUGUGCCUGAGGGAGGACUCCUGGGCCUUGUUAGAAAAGCUAAUACAAUCCAACUGUCAUUUACCGUUGCUUCUAAGUACUAUUCUUAUCCCGUUUUAGAGACUAAUUUCCUGUUAGCAUCUGUUCCACACAUGAAAUCAGCACAUCAGGGCCAGGCCAUCAUCAUCAUCCCCACGGCCCUCCCCAGGCCCAGCUAACCAAAGAUCCUCUUCGACCAUAAGGCCAAAGUGUCGUGAACAGGCUGGAAAUCAGAUGUAAUUGCUGACAACAAAGUAAGAGAUGGAAGAAAGAACAAGACUAAUUGCAUAUAAUACAGCUUCAGUUCAGACUUGAAAUAGGAAGGAGAAUUGUGUGUUAAUUAUACUCCUAGACAACUCAGAAAGCAAGGAAACCAUAAUUGAAUUGAGAAAGAGAGAACCCAUAAAUCAAUGGAUUUUGAAGAAAUAAUCACAUAAUAAAGAGGCAGCAUGUGAUUUAGUAAUUGGAUUAAGUGCACUGAAAUGGGGCUGGGACACAAGAAUUUUCUUUCCCAUCAUGAGCUGGAGUGGAUGUGUGCUCUUGAAGACACUAAGGAGUCUCAGCUAAAAUUAGAAUUGUAAUGCCCUGUUUGCCAGGUACUUCAUUUGAAUUCCCGAGACUGUGGUUUGUAAGUGCCUCAAAUACACAAUAGACCCCGUGGUUCCCUCCUGCCCCUGGCCGGCUGAGCCCCUCCAAGGCUGUCACAGGCAGAGGGUGGAAACGCAGACUUGGAGACACACUGAUUUCAAUCCCUGAGUCUGGGAAUCUGGGUAAAUUAUGUGACCUCUCUUCACCUCGAUUUCUCCGUCUGUGAAAUGCAGCCUGUCCUCUCCCUGCCCAGAGAUGCGGGUUCCUUGUGAGCGGACAAGAGCCUGGUGGAGGUGAAAAGCCGGAGGUCGAGAUGUCCCUCAUGGGGCAAGGUCACCCGGAGGGAAGGAGGCACAUUUGAAGGGUGGUCUAGUCCAGUCUGUGGCCACGUAGGCGCCUCCCCAAACACAAUCCACAAGGAUGGCUGACGCCCCCAGAAAAACCCACAGGCCUCCAAAGGUUCAGCUGUAAGCCCUGGAGAAGACACGGCGGUGCGGGGAGAAAGGGGCAGGAGGACGGCCCAGGAUGCACGCGGCGAGGCUGACAGCAGAGUAAGGAGCGACACGUCUGCCCCCAGCCCCCUGAUCCAGAACACAGCUCCCGGAACAUCCAGGGCAGCCGGCAGCCAGGAAGAGCCGAGGGGAGCACAGUGGGGUCGGAUGCCGGGCGAUGCGGUGGGCCCGGCGUGUGGGUCUGAGUCACGGAGGCACAGCCCCCACCUCCCCCCCACCCCGCCAUGAACAGAAACAGAAGAUGGGGCUUUCCAAGCAGCGGCCACGAUUCAGACUUCACAGUGCAUGACACGAACUCUGGGAGGAAAGAAAGGUAAAUGGAAAACACACAAUAAGAUGGUAGAAACGGAGCCUUGACAGGAGAGUACCCACAAGACUCGGACUGCGUAAGUGAGGGGCAGGGGGGCAAGUGGCAGAAGUGACUCUGGAAGGAGUGAGCACACAUCCACGCAGCGCACACAGCAUCCGCGUGGGCGGAUCCCUCUGUGGGUGUCUGUCUCCACCCAGCACAGGACAGGCUGUCUCAGGACCCGCAGCUCGGAACAUGCUGGCCAGGGCCUGGGCUGAGGCCAGACUGAGAACAGGGUUCCGUGGCUGGAGCCGCCCCAGGACGACCGGCUGUGAAAGGCGCCAUCAGCAAAGAGCGCUUUCAAGGGACCCCAAGCUCCAGGAUUGAUACGACUAAACCUUUUACUGUAAGAACAAGCGGGAGCAUGUGGUGACCCACGGGAGCGGCCACGCCAGGAACACCAGGCAUUCCCGUGCCGUGGGGGCCAGGGUGGUCGUGGUCGGGAGCCCAGCCCUGCAGUGAGGUUCUGGGGGGCCGAGCGCACCGAAAACCGGCCAGGCCAGGCCAUGGACCCAGGGAGGGAAAGCCUCCCUGGAAAACCGUGGACCGAGAUCCAGGGGAAGGAGGGCCCCUCCAGGCAGCUCGUGUGUUCUCGGCACAGGCUGGGCGUCUGUCCUGGCUCUCGCUGCCCACUUACCAACAGGCCAGAUUUCUGCUAUUUCUGGAAAAAUGGGAGCGCUAAUAGCAGGCCCCCAGCCCCCAUGGCAUGGAUGACCAGAGCUGAGCCGUGGCUGCCCCUUGACAUGAACCUUGGGCCACUAGUUUGCCACUAAUUUAUCUUCUGGGCAUUUCAGUGGUGACUUCCCUUUUAAAAAGUAACAAUUUUUAACAGUGUCCUACAGUGUAGAAAAGAUGCUUGUGAAACUCGUACUUUGUAUGGUGCCUGGUAACUUUGGAAUAGUUAAUUUUUUUUUUGAAGAUUUUAUUUAUUUAUUUGAGAGAGAG